This is a long non-coding RNA of Oncorhynchus nerka (sockeye salmon), 1575 nucleotides long. RefSeq lists it as uncharacterized. The transcript has 2 exons. NCBI's taxonomy places the organism in Eukaryota, Metazoa, Chordata, Actinopteri, Salmoniformes, Salmonidae. The record is from RefSeq and is a predicted model, not a curated record.
UUGUAACCAUUAUUUCUGUGAGUUUGUAAAGUGUUUAUACUUGGUGAUGUCAUAUAACAAGACCUUUAGUUCUGUGUUCAGAGGACCAGUGAUGUGUGUAAUGUUGUACAGGAGGUUUUUGUACGGCUCUAAAUCACUGUGUGAACACAUUACCACUGUGGUAACUCUGACAGUAGUAAACUGCUGCAUCUUCAGCCUGGACUCCACUGAUGGUCAGAGUGAAGUCCCUCUCAGACCCACUGCCACUGAAUCUAGCAGGAAUCCCAUCUAAUCGUUUCUUUGCAUAUUUUAUUAGGAGUUUGGGAGCUUCUCCAGGUCUCUGUUGAUACCAGAACACACCCUCAUCUCCAUCAUCCCAUCUGUGCACUUUAGGGUUGGUUGUACAGGUCAGAGUGACAGGGUCUCCUGGAGAAAAUGUCACUACAGGAGGCUGAGUCACAGUCACCUGACCUCUGGAUCCUGAAGAAGAAAAAUAUAAAUUGAUCAACGAGUAUGAAUAAGAUAUGACUUAUAUUUAAUUAUAUUUUAUGAAGGUACAUUUAUGAAUUGAGAUCCAUUUCAAUGAUUAUACAAGGUACUCAACAUGUAUUUUUCCAUUGUAAGAGUUAUAAAACAACAGACCUUUGAGACAGCAGCAGACCAGGGUCCAGAUAAAGAUGGUGAUCAGAGUCAUGGUUGCCGUCGUUUCUGUUGUGUUGAUGGACAGAUCUCAGUCCUGCAGUCUGAAACUCACAGGACUAUAAACACUCCCAGAGCACUGAAGCAUGAGCUGCCAAUGCAAAGCACCUGCUCUAUGGAAACACCCUACCUCAGGACAGAAUAAUAAACUGUAAAUAAUAAUCAUGUGAAAUGCUUUAUAUUUUUGUUGUUGACAGUAAAAUGGCACAAUUGUCAAUAUUGAUAUUUGUCGUAAAUGACAAUGUUUCACUCUGCCCAUAUGCAUUCUGUUAACAUAUGACAUCAUUGGAGUUAAAAACAUCUGGUUGGAGACAUUAAGGAGCUCAAAUCAGAGACUUCAUUAAUCAUAGUAUGCUAUAUAGGUACAUAAUGUGCUUAAUUAUUGUGGUUGUCUCACCAAGCAAUCUUAAGAUGAAUGGACUAAGAUGCUCUGGAUAAGAAUGUCUGCUAAAUGAAUAAAAUGUCAUGUAAUUGUAAAUGAUAAAACAUGAGUAUUGCUUGCUACAAUAUACUGUAGUUGUAUGUGAAGAUGUGUAAUGCUUUAUGAGUAUAGUAAAGUUGUACAACGCUGUGUGGAGCUGUAUGAGUGGUUCUGUUAGUGCAGGGUGUGCUCACUCUUGUGUGAAGGAGGUUUUUGUACGGCGUCUUAACUAGACUGUAUCACUGUGGUUCACGUUCGGUGGAGGGACCAAACUGCUGCUGAGAACUGGUCCUACUGUCAGUCCCACAGUGUCUCUGCUCCCCCCCUCCUCUGAGCAGCUCUCUGGGGGCUCUGCCUCACUGGCCUGCCUGCUGACUGACUACUCCCCUCAGGGGGCGCUGGUGAGCUGGGAGGUGGACGGGCUGGAGGUGAGACAGGGGGUCGUGACCAGUCCAGAAGAAGAGAAGGAAGGCCUU